AACGAACGCUGGCGGCAUGCCUAACACAUGCAAGUCGAACGAGCCCAUCGGGUCUUGUGGCGCCCGGGUGCGUAACGCGACGGAACCUGCACUUAGGUUCGGAAUAACUCCACGAAAGGGGUGCUAAUACCGGAUAAUGUCUUCGGACCAAAGAUUUAUCGCCUUUGGAUGGGCCCGCGUUGGAUUAGCUAGUUGGUAGGGUAAAAGCCUACCAAGGCGCCGAUCCAUAGCUGGUCUGAGAGGAUGAUUAGCCACUCUGGGACGGAGACACGGCCGAGAAUCCUACGGGAGGCAGCAGUGGGGAAUGUUGGACAAUGGGCUAAAUCCUGAACCAGCAAUGCCGCGUGAGUGAUGAAGGCCUUAGGGUUGUAAAGCGCUAUUACCCGGGAUGAUAAUGACAGUACCGGGAGAAUAAGCUCCGGCUAACUCCGUG
Molecule: ribosomal RNA, 433 nt
Filed under: uncultured bacterium
Lineage: Bacteria
Description: partial 16S ribosomal RNA
Rfam family: Bacterial small subunit ribosomal RNA
Source: RNAcentral